GACGAAGGGGGCUAGCGUUGCUCGGAUUGACUGGGCGUAAAGGGCGCGUAGGCGGUUCGUACAGUCAGACGUGAAAUUCCUGGGCUCAACCUGGGGGCUGCGUUUGAUACGUGCGGACUUGAGUGCGGAAGAGGGUCGUGGAAUUCCCAGUGUAGAGGUGAAAUUCGUAGAUAUUGGGAAGAACACCGGUGGCGAAGGCGGCGACCUGGUCCGAUACUGACGCUGAGGUGCGAAAGCGUGGGGAGCAAACAGG
This 253-nucleotide ribosomal RNA is filed under the name uncultured bacterium. Its description in RNAcentral is "partial 16S ribosomal RNA". It matches the Rfam family "Bacterial small subunit ribosomal RNA", at positions 524 to 776 of the family's 1533-position model. The record is from RNAcentral.